This is a long non-coding RNA of Gavialis gangeticus (Gharial), 1395 nucleotides long. RefSeq lists it as uncharacterized. The record is from RefSeq and is a predicted model, not a curated record. The transcript is spliced from 2 exons. Lineage: Eukaryota; Metazoa; Chordata; Crocodylia; Gavialidae.
GCCAGGGCUUUGCAUGGAGUGGGCUUCUUGAUUUAACUAUAUCCUACCAAAAGUUUCCAUACAUGCAACAGCUUGAGCGUUCAUUGGACUUGCAGCUCACAGAGCAAUGGCAGGCUGGAUUCCUCUCCAGAUAGCUGUAAACAUUAAUGAAAGUCUUGCCAUAUUUUGGCUUUGGGGUCCUGUCCAGUAAUGCUGUCCACAGAUGUCUGUGUCUUCCUGGAUCUCAGUAUAGGAUGCGUGUGUCUCUCGUUCUGAACCUGGCCAAGGCUAACAGUAAGAAUCAGCGAGAAUAUCUUUUUGUUUAACCAUGCAAUGCACUGAACAGAUUGGAAAACACAUGGACAAGACCAGGCGGAGAAGGCAGGAAAAUGUCAAGAGAAAUGUUCAACCCAGAUUUAUUUGACAGCUUCAGUUUUAGUAUCAUGCAAAGAAUGAAAUACAUUUAAUUCCCAGCUAUGCUGAAGCUAAUGCCAAAAAUUGCAUUUGAAUCUUCCACUGGGAUCAGCAGGGACCUCUUUGAGUACUGGAUCAAAACCAAGGAUCUGAAAUCGGCUUACAGCCCAGGACCAAAACCAACCUCUGUUAUUGCUCAGGGCAAUGGUUUGUAUGGUGAAGAAUGCAACAGGGUUUUGUCACCGUGCUGAGGCAUUUCAGGACAGCAAAGACUCUGGGACGAGAUAGACCUUGAUAGCAGAGAAUGACCUAUACGCCAGGACCUCUUCACAAGCAACCAAGAAGAUGCCCGUGUGGACUUUACCCCAGAUCUGCCUCCUGAGCAGGCCAGACCUUUGCAGACUCGGACUUUAUCUGGCCUAAUGUCUGGCAUAUCUGAAGGGGAAGAAGAACAGAAGAGAAGAGGAAAUGUCUUUGAAGAGCUCCUAAAAGCCUGAUCCAAGUGAAGGCAAAAAGCUCAUGAGUGGAGGACUAAAAAGAAAAAGCAUGGAGAGGUGCUGCAGCUGGACCCUCAUCUGACCAGAGAACUGGCCAAGCGGGGCUUUGCAAAGACCUGGGGACCUAUGGAAAAGGACACGGAGAGACCGAGGCAACUUAUGGAGGUCAUGAAAACAUGGGAAAUGUGCUCCAGCAAUGCUCACCCUUUUCCUCCUCUGUACUUGGGGCAGAAAAUUGCUGCAAAGAUUCCUGCCCACACUUGUUUCUUCCCACUGCAAAUACUACAGCACCAUUGCUUGCCCUAUUUGAAACAAUGGUCUCCACUAACUUCCAUUUUAUUUUCGAUCCUAAUGUUUGUACUUGCACAUGGCUUCUCACAGCAAGAACUAUUACAUCUAUUCGUACUCAAGGCGCGUAACAAUAAAGGAGACUUUUAUUCUGCGGUGAUACCAUUUUUUAUCAAAGUUGCAUCUUAAAAUUAUCAUUAAAAAUGCCAUUUCUGCU